This 83-nucleotide small RNA is filed under the name Marmota monax (woodchuck). The record is from RNAcentral. Lineage: Eukaryota; Metazoa; Chordata; Mammalia; Rodentia; Sciuridae.
GCUGGGUGCAGUGGCGUACACCUGUAAUCUCAGCAGCUCAGAAGACUGAGGCAGGAAGAUCUUGAAUUCAAAGCCAGCCUCAG